CCGCAUAAGAUUGUAGUACCGCAUGGUACAGCAAUUAAAGGAGCAAUCCGCUAUGAGAUGGGCCCGCGGCGCAUUAGCUAGUUGGUGAGGUAACGGCUCACCAAGGCGACGAUGCGUAGCCGACCUGAGAGGGUGAUCGGCCACAUUGGGACUGAGACACGGCCCAGACUCCUACGGGAGGCAGCAGUGGGGAAUAUUGCACAAUGGGGGAAACCCUGAUGCAGCAACGCCGUGUGAGUGAUGACGGCCUUCGGGUUGUAAAGCUCUGUCUUCAGGGACGAUAAUGACGGUACCUGAGGAGGAAGCCACGGCUAACUACGUGCCAGCAGCCGCGGUAAUACGUAAGUGGCGAGCGUUGUCCGGAUUUACUGGGCGUAAAGGGAGCGUAGGCGGAUUUUUAAGUGAGAUGUGAAAUACUCGGG
Molecule: ribosomal RNA, 422 nt
Filed under: uncultured bacterium
Lineage: Bacteria
Description: bacterial SSU rRNA
Rfam family: Bacterial small subunit ribosomal RNA
Source: RNAcentral